Molecule: non-coding RNA, 24 nt
Filed under: Cricetulus griseus (Chinese hamster)
Lineage: Eukaryota; Metazoa; Chordata; Mammalia; Rodentia; Cricetidae
Source: RNAcentral
CAAAGCGCUAUUCUGGGAACAUGG